This 3849-nucleotide unclassified non-coding RNA is filed under the name Hevea brasiliensis (rubber tree). Lineage: Eukaryota; Viridiplantae; Streptophyta; Magnoliopsida; Malpighiales; Euphorbiaceae. The record is from RNAcentral.
GUUCAAUCAGGACCACCUCUCCUCAGUCCUGAAAAAAGUCCCACUCCUGAAAAAAGUCCCACUCCCAUCAGCUUUGUUGUAGACUUUACAUACGUAUCAUGACAAGAAGCAUCCACCAAUUUUUCACAAAGCCUAACCAAGAAAAUAGGAAUAUAGCCAUGGAUAUCUAUCUAUUUAACUAUUCAUUAAAAAAUGGCAAUCCUUAUUCCUCGCAGGUUGCAACAACAAUGAUAACUCUGAUCAAUUGCUAAUCUUCCAUAUCAAGUGUGAGUGCCAGCCCGAAUUACAAAUUAAAUAUAUUCUCAAAACAAAUUUCCAACUGGCAGCAAUCCCUCCAAUUCAAGAAAGGAACAAGAAAAGGCACCAGUUCAUCUACAGUGCAAGAAUGGAAACAAGAUUACUUAAUGGGCCAAGCUUUUUGCCCUUUUUGUUGCUGUUAUUCGCCAAAAAUUCAAAGCCGCCCCACCAGGUGAAAUCAACCACAAAAGGCUAAAUCAGAGACAGAGAGGGAGGGGGGGGGGGAAGCAUCCCAAUCCACAAGCAAGAAAUCAAAAACCUCAAGAUCCUCCGAAAACCAAACAAAAACUGCUUAGAAAGAGAGAGAGAGUUCACAUUUAUUGCUGUUUCAGUCGCUUCUUGCUCUUUUCCGUCUCGUGUCCAUCGCCAUUUUUAAUUGACGUCCCAAUCAAAUAAAAAUUAGAUACACAAAACCGAAGUCUCUCUCUCAUUUGGCAAUGCCAAAUUGCCAAUGCCGAUGCCAAUCAACUAAAGGACAAUAAAAAUAGAGGUAAGAGAGACAAUUAAAACAUAUUAUUCAUGGCAACAGCUACUGCUACAACCACAACUACUGCUUCAACCACAACUAGAGCUCACCUUAAAGUUCAAACUCAGCCCACCAAGCCCAAACGCCGCAAGUGCCGUGAAACCACCAUUUCCUCCUCCGCUGCUGCCACAGCUAAUUCUAGUAGUUCUGACGCUGCUUCUGGUUCUGGGUAUUGUUCACAUAGCCAAAGCCGGAAACUUGACCAUCCCACCAUUGUUUCCGCUGAUAACUCCUGGAGCUGUCUUGCUUCCAAACCCACUUCUGCCCCACCUCCCCCACCACCAUCUCCGCCUCCGCUACCCCGCCGUUUAACCGUGAAGGAAUCUGACCCCGUUCUUGAUUCGCCAUCAACCUUCAGGUUCCGCUUCUCUCCGGGAAGUCUAUCGCCAGUCAUGGACUUCACUCCCACCUCAGCUUCCACUAUUACCGCCACAACAACCCUAACAAAUGGCCACCACUCUCCUCAUGAACCUUCUUCUUUCCCUUCGAGUUUCACCAAAUUUAACUCUGCACUCACAGCUGGUCUUCUAAACCCGAUGUCGCCCCCGCCGGAUAAGCCCCGAUCCAGUCCGACGCUUUUCGAGAUGAUGGCGAGCGAGCCCGAAAUGCAACCCAGAACCCAGAUCCCGAUUAACAAUGCUAACAUCAAUGUUCGAAGCUCGCAAAACUCCCAAUUGUCUGUUCAAGAUAAACAGACUUUAAUCAUGCAGCGAAUAGCUGACAUUUUGGGAAACAGGAGCCCUGGUAACCAGUUCAAUGAUGCGUCGACUAGUGAUGUUAAGCUGACAUUGAGUUCCAAAGAUGGAAUUAGCGUGUCAAUGAGCGUCCACAGACAGAUCCUGGUGGCUCACAGCAGGUUUUUCGCUGUGAAAUUAUCGGAUCGGUGGGCCAAGCAGCAGCGUUCGUCGGUGCCGUAUGUGGUGGAGAUUGCCGAUUGCGAUGAUGUCGAAGUUUAUAUUGAGACUUUAAGGUUAAUGUAUUGCAAGGAUCUGAGGAGAAAGCUCAUGAAAGAGGAUGUGAGUAAGGUUCUUGGUAUUUUGAAGGUUUCUGCAGCAAUUGGGUUUGAUGCUGGGGUCUUAUCUUGCUUGGAGUACUUGGAAGCUGCUCCAUGGGCUGAGGAUGAAGAAGAGAAGGUGGCCUCACUGUUGUCAGAGCUUCGCCUUGAAGGAGUUGGAGCAGGAGAGGUUCUUAAGAGGGUUUCAGUAGAAGUAACUAAUGGAACAGAAGAGAGUCGUGACAACGAUGAAGUGCUUCUCAAGCUUUUGCAUGUAGUUCUUGAUGGUAAAGAUGAGAAAGCUCGGCGGGAGAUGAAAGGGUUGGUGUCGAAGAUGCUUCGUGAGAAUUCUUCUCAGAAUGAUCUUCGAAAGGAAUCCUUGUACUCAGCUUGUGAUGGGUGUUUGCAAUUGCUUCAUAACCAUUUUCUCCGUGCAGCAGAAGGAGAUUUGGAGGAUAUUGGUCAGAUUGCACGGCAAGCAGAUAACCUGCAUUGGAUUUUGGAUAUUUUGAUUGACAGACAGAUUGCUGAAGAUUUUCUGAAAACCUGGGCAUCUCAGUCUGAAUUGUCUGAUGCACAUUCUAAAAUUCCUGCUGUAUAUAGGUAUGAGGUUAGCAGAGUUACAGCAAGGCUGUUUGUUGGGAUUGGAAAGGGCCAACUGUUGGCUUCAAAGGAAGUGAGGUGCUUGCUUUUACAGACAUGGUUGGUGCCAUUUUAUGAUGAUUUUGGGUGGAUGAGGAGGGCAUCUAAAGGCCUUGAUCGACAUCUAAUUGAGGAUGGUCUUAGUAACACAAUUCUAACUCUACCUCUAGCUUGGCAGCAAGAGAUUUUACUGGCUUGGUUUAAUAGAUUCUUGAACUCUGGUGAAGACUGUCCAAAUAUACAAAGAGGAUUUGAGGUUUGGUGGAGAAGGGCUUUCUGGAGACGGAGUGGUGACCAGGAAAGGACAAGGCCACUAAGAAUCACGACUGCAACCAUUGAGAAUUCAUGAAAAGUAAUAGAAUUCACAGUGCUGUAUAUCGUUCUCUGAGGGGUCAGUAGUGAUCAGUGCCUCUACCUCAGUCCAUUCAAAAUCCCUAAACAGGUCCCGUAAUCCACUUAUCUUCCCUCCUUGCCAGUGCUUAUUUCCCUCUUUCUCAAUCUCGCUCCUUCAAGCUCUCACACCUCUGUUGCUGUGGUUCUUUUUGUGGCCCCUCGCUUGCUGCUGGUCACCUCAUGCGCCUCUGUGGCUGCUGGUGUUUCUGUCUUGCUCCUCGCUCAUUGCUGGUGCCUACUGCCUAAUGAUUUCCUCAUUACAUGUGCACCUGCUGCAUGUUCUCUUAAUUCGGGUUCUCAGUUGAUCUUAAUUUCUGCUUGUGAACAAUGGGAAUGGUGUGAUUGUGAAUUUAUGAUAUACUUUAGAACAGGCCUAGAUAUGGGACUGAGUUGAUCAUUUUUCUUUGUGAUUUGUGACCAUUUGAUGAUUAAUCCAUAUUUUUUUACCAUUUAACUUUAAUUUCUGUCUUUACAUUUUAGUCUAAUUUGAGGGUUUUGAUACCAGGUUUUCCUUUGUUUCUUAUUUUCUGGGCUUGUCACGAUAUGGGAAAUCGGGGUUACUAAUAUAUAAUUUUAGCUAGCUUCUGAACUUGGGGUUGCUGAGCUAUAAUUUGGAAAAUUGGGGUCAAUAAUGUAUAAUUUUUCUGUUGCCCUGGAUUAUAAUGAAUUGCUAUAUUAGAGAAGAUGAGCAAGUUUAGUAAUAGAGAAUCAGCAUUGCUAUAUUAGCACAAGAUAUAGAGCUGUUGGUAAUAAGCAAUAAAUAGAUGCCGAUAUAUUUCUGGUAUUAUGGAGCCAUUAGGCAGACCAGGGUUUUGAAAAAAGCUGCUAUUUAGGUAUCUAGUAACAGCACUUUCUCAUGAAGCAGACCAAUAUUUAAAAAGUAUUUACUUUCCCAUAUAUGGCUGAUUAUGCAUUUAAUAAAUAAUACAAAUUGUCCUUAUGCUUAGAAUAGAAUGCAUGAAAAGAAAUGUGAAUUCAGUUCCUAAUCACAAACUUA